Molecule: long non-coding RNA, 1186 nt
Organism: Callorhinchus milii (elephant shark)
Lineage: Eukaryota; Metazoa; Chordata; Chondrichthyes; Chimaeriformes; Callorhinchidae
Exons: 5
Source: RefSeq, a predicted model, not a curated record
CCCCCCUUCAAGUUUCCAUAGAGCUUUAGCUUGUCACAUGAUGGACAAACAUGAUAUAAUUGAGUAAUGAAACAACACAGCCAAACCAACACACACACACACAGACACACACACAGAGAGAGAGAGAGAGAGAGAGAAAAUAAUAUUCCUGUGGAUGAGGACAGUGCAAAUGGCAAUCCAUUCACUUUAAUUCCCUGUGAGAGUACUUUCUCUGUGUCUAAAACACACACAGAGAGAGAGAGAGAGAGAGAGGCAAGAUCUCCCUCUUGUUGAUUUUAUUUGCUGCCUCUGGAUAGCACUGGGAGGGGGGGGGGAAUGUGAGAAAGAGAGAGAAGGAGAGAAGGAAAGAAAGAAAAAGAGAGAGAGAGAGAUGCUACACACACACAGUGCUUUCUGAAGUGCGUACCUCUGGAUAACACAGACGUGUGUGAAAAUACAGAUGGAGACCAGGUUUGCCUCAGUCAACAAGUGGAUGGCAUUUACAGAUUACAGUGCAGGAAAAGAUCGCAAGAGAGCAAAGAAAAAUAUCCUGCAGAGGAGCUGGCCGUAGCUUGAAGACAACGGACCUGCGAUGGUGAAAUGUAACUCCUCAAAACUCGGGUGACCGGUCACCUCUUAUUACCUCAUCGAUGUCGGGCAGAAACGGAUCAGGAACAGAAACCACUGAGUCCGACUGCUGUUAUAUUUAUAGGGCAAACGUAGCUACUGCCAGAGUUGAGCAACUGCGUUCGAUCAGUGGGAAUGAACAAACCAACAGUAGCCGGACUGACCUCUGAGCCAGUUGUUGUGCAGCAGCGAUGGGAGGAAGAUGGCUGCGCUGUGCGUGAAGCAUUCAACUCACCGGCUUGUCAGUCUCCGGAGAUGGUAAGCAGCUUUCCGUUAGGGGAGAGGGGUUAGGGAGCCAUUGACUUCCUGUUACUCCCAACCUCGUAGACCUGUAACGAUGUGAUAAGGCGUCGUAUCAAAUGCGAGGAUUGUUAUAAUAAUUAUUAUCACGACAGGGGUGAAGCCGCCAUCACCGAUGCCUCUUUAAAUGCAGCGAAACAAUAUCCCUGACGGGUUUAAGUCGUUUGCAGACAGGAGAAAAGAGCGAUUAAAACCAGCAUUCGCAGGACGCUAAUCGGCAUCGAGUGAGUCGCGGUAUUUAAACAAGUCCCCACGGUGGCUGGUCACGAUAACCUGCCGC